UGGCGGCCGCGGCUGGCGCUCGUGACUCACGGCUCCACUCCAAUGACAACCACUUUCUUGGCAUUAGUAAUGGAGUGAUUUGCCAUUGCCUUCUCCGUUUCACACACAUGUUAAUAAUCAAUCUGUUUGCAGGUUUCCUCACGAUAUUUUCCUUCACCGGAAGCAAGUGGUGGUCUUUGAAAACCAGGGACUUUUAGAUUCACUGGCGACAUCACCACCGCUUCAAAUAUCGUAUUGUAAACAAAUAUAUAUCGUACUAAAACGUAACAGUGUUAAAUUGUGUUUGAAACUGUCAAUAAUUUAAAAAAAAAUGGCGGCCCGUGCAACGCCAUUGGACUUGUUGAAAAACAUUUUUUUCUUUCAAAUAUUACAAUAAGGGUAUCAAAUAAAGGGCUCAAUACAAAUAUUUUUAAGUAGACGGGUGUUUUUUAAAAUUCUUUACUUUAAGUUCUAGACUUGUGUUAUGGGAUACUAACUCAACGAUACUUUAUUUUAUAACAUACAAGAUGUUGCCCGGGGCUUCGCUCCCGUAGGAAUUUUGAGAUAAAAUAUAGCCUAUAGCAAACUUGAAUAAUGUACCUUUCUAAUGCUAAAAGAAUUGUUGAAAUACGUUCGGUAGUUUCGGAGAUUACCCGUUUCAAACAUACAAACUCACAAACGCUUACUUCUUUAUAAUAAUAGUAUAGAUACAUAUAUACGAGGGGAGGUCAAUAAGUUCGCGGAAUGGAGGGGUUGGUGGGGGUAGGUUUUCUCGUCCAGGUAGUUAUUAGUUGAGCAUCUCAUUAAAAGUAUAUAUAUCAAAUUUGAACGUAAUCGGGUCAUUAACUUUUGUGUUAUCGACCUGUAAACAACUGAAUCGGGAAGAAAUCAGCCAGUAUGGAGAAAAUUGAACACUGCGCCGUUAUUAAGUUCCUUACCAAGCAAGGAAAAUCCGCUCAGAUUAUUUUUCAAGAGCUGUUGGCUGUUUACGGGGACUCUGCCCCUGGAAAAACCAUGGUUUACAAGUGGCAUGGUCUUUUCAAACAAGGAAGAGAGUCCAUUGAAGAUGACCCACGCUCCGGACGGCCAAUUGAGGCCACCCUUCGGAAAUCGUCGAAAAAGUAGAAAAACUUGUAUUGGAAGAUACCCGGUUGAAGAAGAAGCAGCUUGCAGCAAUGAUUGGAGUAUCCGAAACCAGUAUUUUGAAUAUUCUACAUGAUCAUCUUGGCAUGACUAAGGUCAGUGCAAGAUGGGUUCCGAGAAUGCUCACACCACUUCAAAAACGUGAACGUGUCGAGUGUUCUCGUCAGUUUUUGGAGCUCUGUGGAGAGAGAAAGGAAGCAAUUAUGGCCCGGAUUGUUACUGGUGAUGAAACCUGGGUUCACCACUAUGAACCUGAGUCGAAGCAAGAGUCGAUGCAGUGGCAUAAAAAAGGCACACCUCCUCCAAAGAAGUACAAAGUGACACAAUCGGCUGGCAAGAUCAUGGCGACUGUCUUUUGGGAUACAGAAGGCAUUUUAUUGAUCGAUUACAAAGAACGUGGUGUGACUAUAACGGGACAGUACUACGCUUCUUUACUGGAAAGAUUAAAAGAAGCUAUUAAGGAAAAAAUAAGAGGAAAGUUGUCAAAAGGUGUGCUCCUUCUGCACGACAACGCACCCGUUCACACGUGCCAUGUUGCGACGGCUGCCAUUCACCGAUGCGGCUUCGAACAAUUGAACCACC
Long non-coding RNA from Plodia interpunctella (Indianmeal moth), 1704 nucleotides. RefSeq lists it as uncharacterized. The record is from RefSeq and is a predicted model, not a curated record. NCBI's taxonomy places the organism in Eukaryota, Metazoa, Arthropoda, Insecta, Lepidoptera, Pyralidae. The transcript has 2 exons.